Molecule: ribosomal RNA, 331 nt
Filed under: uncultured eukaryote
Lineage: Eukaryota
Description: partial 18S ribosomal RNA
Rfam family: Eukaryotic small subunit ribosomal RNA
Source: RNAcentral
CCCUUAGAUGUUCUGGGCCGCACGCGCGCUACACUGAUGCAUUCAACGAGUUUUGUUUGUUCCUUGGCCGAGAGGCCUGGGCAAUCUUUUGAACUUGCAUCGUGAUAGGGAUAGAUUAUUGCAAUUAUUAAUCUUGAACGAGGAAUUCCUAGUAAACGCAGAUCAUCAAUCUGCAUUGAUUACGUCCCUGCCCUUUGUACACACCGCCCGUCGCACCUACCGAUUGAAUGGUCCGGUGAAGCCUCAGGAUUGUGGUUGGUUUCCUUUAUUGGAGAUUGAUUGCGAGAACUUGUCUAAACCUUAUCAUUUAGAGGAAGGUGAAGUCGUAACA